RNAcentral lists this long non-coding RNA (202 nucleotides) under Malus domestica (apple). RNAcentral describes it as "long non-coding RNA (MDOM_LNC010482)". Lineage: Eukaryota; Viridiplantae; Streptophyta; Magnoliopsida; Rosales; Rosaceae. The record is from RNAcentral.
GUGGUUAAGUACUUAAUCUUUGAUUAUGUCAAAGUCUCCCCAUUCGCGGGUGUCCACGGCAUAAUUGGGCUUAAGCCACUUAGUCAUGAAGGCAAGUGUAUGCGCAACAAGGAAUCUCUAAUCCUCGAUAAGAGAGGAAGAAUACUUUAAGAUAUGAUUCGGGAAUCUUCGGCCGAAGUAUCGAGCGUAAUAAAGGAAAGCG